AAGAAAUAAGGGUAUUACUUUAAUUUUAAAACAAAUAAACUAUGGCAUAUUGUCAAGAUCAGGAAUAACAUUCAAAUAAAAGACAACUGCCUACAAAAUGUGUGCCCACGAAGCUUUUUUAAAAGCUCUUGUCUUUGUAUACUUCACACCGGAAACAGCAUUUCGUCAUUUUGGCGCGAGAAGUGUAUUUCUACCGCGACUAUCAUUACGUUCUUAUGAAUCAUCAGAUGUUUUAAUAAACGUAACGUAUCGGCUGUAAAUGUAGAUCAAAGGACAGAAAGCGUCACCGUUAACACAUCGCGAUGUUAAACUGAAUGUUGCUGAUGAGUCCUCGUUUGAGCUGUAGAAGACAUUUUGUUUUUAAGUUUAGGAAUCAAGUAAGCCAUUUCCAAAACACACGGAGUUGUUUAUUUUCUGGACGGACAGGACAAUGAAAACAGCGACUAACACUACGAAUGAAGAUGCACCUCUACCCCUGUCAGCUCUGCAGCUUAUAGCUCCACCUUUACGCCUGAUGUCUGCAGCCAUGUGGAAGGUGAUGCUGCAGAGAGAUGCAGUACAUUAUGGGAAACUGGAGGAAACCAUAACAUCACUCUGUGAGACUGUACCUGGGCUGCUUCAUUACAGACAUCAGGCCAGGCUGACAAUGGGUUUGCGGGCACUGAUGAUCCUGGAAGAGCUUCGUCAGUCAGAUCCUCCUGAUGCUCAGCUUGUCCUCCAAGAGCUGCACAAGCUGCAAGAUUCCUCCAUUCCCAUCGGAAAGAGGAAGGAUCAAAAGGUGGAGGAAGCUAAACGAAACUUCCAGACCUUGGUGCACUCUCUCUUGAACAAUGCAGCAGCCAGAAAACAGUUCUUCAGGGAGGAAUUCCAUCUUCACUAUGGAGGAAACUAUGUGACCAGUCUAGAGAAGCUAUUGUGGGAGUUUCUAGUUCGAUUGGAUAAGCUAUUACCCAUUCCAGAUCUUGCUCAGACAGUCUCGUGGCUUAGUGGUGCCCCUGCUGUUUUAGAGGAGUGUGCACGUUCUGCAUCGCAGCCCCAGCUCCUCAGGACUCUGCUGCAGCAUGAAAGAUGCCUUGGACAUCUCAGCCCAGCAACUCUUCUGUCAUCCACUGGUGACGCGAUCCUGUCGUCCCUUUCCCUUCCUCUUUCGGGUAAAGUGCUGCAGACCAUGCAUUCAGAAUCCACUUCCUCAUCCAACAGGGUCAGAAAUCCCACCCCAUCAACACCCAGAACCACUCGCAGUGCUGCGAAAGAAGCCCAGUCGCAGGUCACACCUGUGAUUGGGUCCAUUUCCAAUGACGUUCUUCGAAAAGACGAUGAGAAUGUAGCAAGUUCAGGACAAGAAGUCGAAACAGCUUCUGAAAACUCCAGAAAUACCAGAAGCAAACAAAGAUCAUGUUCUAAAAAACAGGAUUUAGAGAAGGAUCCAGAAAAUGAAUAUUUUGUUGGGAAUAUGUUGGUCACAGUGAUCAGUCAGUCAUCCAGCAGUGAAGUAGAAGAAGAAGAGGAGGAGGGCAGCACAGAAGAAAUGAACAAUAGGAAGGAGAGUAGUGAGAGAGCAAACAAACUAGCCAAAAAGACUGAAGCUAAGAACAGAAAUGGGAAAAAAGGGCAAGAUGUUACAAGGAAAUAUUCCACUAGGACAAACUCUGAGGGCAUCGAGUCACAGCAGGAAGCAGAAAUGAGUGCUCUCCUCAUUUCCUGCAUGAAGCGCCAACUGAGAGUUGUCAUUCCCAGAUUAAACGACAGUGAUCUUCCUGUCUGUCCAAGUCAUCUGUCUGAUGAGAAGGAAAAUACAACGUCUUCAAAAGACAGUGCGGGAAACGGUCACUCUGUGAUACGCAAGAGGAAAUUUAUUGAUUUGAGUUCAACGCCGGAGAAACACCUGACGUUAUCAGUCAAUAAACCACCUUCUGCUUCUUCUCCAUGUAUUCCUGUUGUUCUGCAUCUUCCAGUCGGCAGUCCAGAAACACCAUCUCCCUCAGUUAAGUCAUCAGAUGACAUAAUUUGCGAUUCUGAUGAUGAGAGGACAGACAACGUCAAGAGGAAGUGACUUCGCUCUCACUGAAAGCGAGUCUGCAAUGUGUCUCUCUUCUCCAGGAGUGCUGUUAGCAAAUCACAGAGAAAGAGGUAUUCAGUCAGCAGUAUUAUAAAACAAAGAAUGGUACGUAUGUGCCCACACUGCGAGAGUUUUGGAAUCCCGUGUUUUGUUCCACAUUGUCUCCUGGAAGCAGACAUUGAUGCACUUUUGGAACAUCAUUCUUGCUUAGACUUUCUUGAUGCUGCAGUGUUUGCUGUUAUAGAUAAUGCAUGUAUUAGUCAUACGUCUGAGAUUUUAUUUAAACCGAAGCUCCUUACCACGUAGUACAUUUUUAACCACGAAAAUCUCCCUGCUUUUAGGAAGUGUGCAUUACUUAGAAUGAUUAGAAUCAUUUAUUUUAUUUUUAUUCUACCUAUAUCUGUAUCAUGUAGAAUGUUGUUGUCGUUGUUAUAUGUAAUAUAUUUAAAUAAAGAAUUUUGUCUCCUG
RNA transcript from Labeo rohita (rohu), 2527 nucleotides. It is a transcript of the gene named TERF1 (TRF1)-interacting nuclear factor 2, with no coding region annotated. NCBI's taxonomy places the organism in Eukaryota, Metazoa, Chordata, Actinopteri, Cypriniformes, Cyprinidae. The transcript has 11 exons. The record is from RefSeq and is a predicted model, not a curated record.